RNAcentral lists this long non-coding RNA (503 nucleotides) under Citrus sinensis (sweet orange). Its description in RNAcentral is "long non-coding RNA (CSIN_LNC004806)". Lineage: Eukaryota; Viridiplantae; Streptophyta; Magnoliopsida; Sapindales; Rutaceae. The record is from RNAcentral.
UCGUUGAAGCACUCUAUGUGCACCAGCGGAUCAGUUCUUCCCGAGUAUCUGAGGUCUGGGAGGCGGAAAUCUCUCGGAAUAACUGCCUUCAUGAUCUCUGCUGCGAGCGGUGAUUCUCCGUCCAGCAUUAUCCUCCAACCAGGGGCUCUGUUCCUUCCUUGCAUGUCGUCAAUUAUCUGCGCUAGUCUGCGCACUUCCUCCUCCAGCUGCACUGCACGACCAGGGUCACGUGCUGCAACUUGAUCCCGCUCUUGCUCUACAUCAUGCACGUGUUGCCUCAACUCUAUUUCCUCUGCAUUCACCACCCCGUCGUCCUCGUCACCAGUCUGUCUUGCCGGGGACUGCUCUCGUUCUCUAUGAAAUUCUCCCCGCAGAGGUACGUUACCCCUCUCACCACCGAAUCUCCCGGUGGUUUGACUUCUCCCCGCACUAUCGGGACCUGGUGCCACUCCACCGCCUCUCACCCUUCCCUCUUGGGUUACCCUUCGCUCGCUCCGCAGCUC